CCUGGUUGAUUCUGCCAGUAGUCAUAUGCUUGUCUCAAAGAUUAAGCCAUGCAUGUCUAAGUAUAAGCAACCAUACUGUGAAACUGCGGAUGGCUCAUUAAAUCAGUUAUCGUUUAUUUGAUAGUACCUUUACCUGGAUAACCGUGGUAAUUCUAGAGCUAAUACAUGCUAAAAACCCCGACUUCGGAAGGGGUGUAUUUAUUAGAUAAAAAACCAAUGCCCUCUGGGCUCUUUGGUGAUUCAUAAUAACUUAACGAAUCGCAUGGCCUUGCGCCGGCGAUGGUUCAUUCAAAUUUCUGCCCUAUCAACUUUCGAUUGUAAGAUAGAGGCUUACAAUGGUAUUAACGGGUAACGGGGAAUUAGGGUUCUAUUCCGGAGAGGGAGCCUGAGAAACGGCUACCACAUCCAAGGAAGGCAGCAGGCGCGCAAAUUACCCAAUGCUAAUUCAGCGAGGUAGUGACAAUAAAUACUGAUACGGGGCUCUUUCGGGUCUCGUAAUUGGAAUGAGUACAAUCUAAAUCCCUUAACGAGGAACAAUUGGAGGGCAAGUCUGGUGCCAGCAGCCGCGGUAAUUCCAGCUCCAAUAGCGUAUAUUAAAGUUGUUGCCGUUAAAAAGCUCGUAGUUGAACCUUGGACCUGGCUGAUCUGUCCUCCUAAUCGAGCGCACGGAUUCGGUCGGGUCUUUCCUUCUGGGGAGCCCUAUGCCCUUCACUGGGUGUAGUGGGGAACCAGGACUUUUACCUUGAAAAAAUUAGAGUGUUCAAAGCAGGCCUUUGCUCGAAUACAUUAGCAUGGAAUAAUAAUUUAGGACUUCUGUUCUAUUUUGUUGGUUUCUAGGACCGCUGUAAUGAUUAAUAGGGAUAGUCGGGGGCGUCAGUAUUCAAUUGUCAGAGGUGAAAUUCUUGGAUUUAUUGAAGACUAACUACUGCGAAGGCAUUCGCCAAGUAUGUUUUCAUUAAUCAGUGAACGAAAGUUAGGGGAUCGAAGACGAUCAGAUACCGUCGUAGUCUUAACCAUAAACUAUGCCGACUAGGGAUCGGACGGUGGUUUUUUUAUGCCCCGUUCGGCACCUUACGAGAAAUCAAAGUUUUUGGGCUCGGGGGGGAGUAUGGUCGCAAGGCUGAAACUUAAAGAAAUUGACGGAAGGGCACCACCAGGCGUGGAGCCUGCGGCUUAAUUUGACCCAACACGGGGAAACUCACCAGGUCCAGACAUGCUUAGGAUUGACAGAUUGAUAGCUCUUUCUUGAUUGUAUGGGUGGUGGUGCAUGGCCGUUCUUAGUUGGUGGAGUGAU
Molecule: ribosomal RNA, 1294 nt
Filed under: metagenome
Description: SSU rRNA
Rfam family: Eukaryotic small subunit ribosomal RNA
Source: RNAcentral